GGUUUUCCCACUGAAUUUAA
RNAcentral lists this ribosomal RNA (20 nucleotides) under Tetraglochin cristata. RNAcentral describes it as "partial 26S ribosomal RNA". Lineage: Eukaryota; Viridiplantae; Streptophyta; Magnoliopsida; Rosales; Rosaceae. The record is from RNAcentral.